RNAcentral lists this ribosomal RNA (409 nucleotides) under uncultured bacterium. Its description in RNAcentral is "bacterial SSU rRNA". It matches the Rfam family "Bacterial small subunit ribosomal RNA", at positions 28 to 428 of the family's 1533-position model. The record is from RNAcentral.
GAUGAACGCUGGCGGCGUGCCUAAUACAUGCAAGUCGAACGAGGUGCUUUUGUAGCAAUACGAAAGUAUCCUAGUGGCGAACGGGUGAGUAACGCGUUGGUGACCUACCCCAAAGUGUGGGAUAACAGUUCGAAAGAACUGCUAAUACCGCAUGUGGUUAUCGGGUUUAGAAACUGAUAACUAAAGGAGCAAUUCGCUUUGGGAGGGACCUGCGUCCCAUCAGCUAGUUGGUGAGGUAAUGGCUCACCAAGGCUACGACGGGUAGGGGACCUGAGAGGGUGGCCCCCCACAAUGGAACUGAAACAACGGUCCAUACACCUACGGGUGGCAGCAGUAGGGAAUAUUGGUUAAUGUGCGAAAGACGCGAACCAGCAACGCCGCGUGUGCGAUGAAGGCCUUCGGUCGGUAA